CCCGCUGAACUUAAGCAUAUCAAUAAGCGGAGGAAAAGAAACUAACAAGGAUUCCCCUAGUAACUGCGAGUGAAGAGGGAAAAGCUCAAAUUUAAAAUCUGGCAGCUUUGGCUGUCCGAGUUGUAAUCUGGAGAAGUGUUUUCAGUGCAGGACCGUGUACAAGUCUCUUGGAAUGGAGCAUCAUAGAGGGUGAGAAUCCCGUCUUUGACACGGACUACCUGUGCUUUGUGAUACACUCUCAAAGAGUCGAGUUGUUUGGGAAUGCAGCUCAAAAUGGGUGGUAAAUUCCAUUUAAAGCUAAAUAUUGGCGAGAGACCGAUAGCGAACAAGUACCGUGAGGGAAAGAUGAAAAGCACUUUGGAAAGAGAGUUAAACAGUACGUGAAAUUGUUGAAAGGGAAACGCUUGGAGUCAGUCGCGUUUGUUAGAACUCAGCUUGGCUUCUGCUUAGUGUACUUUCUAAUGAACGGGCCAACAUCGAUUUCAGUCAGUGGAUAAGGGUAAGAGGAAUGUGGCACCUUCGGGUGUGUUAUAGCCUCUUAUCGUAUACAUUUACUGGGAUCGAGGUCUGCAGCACUUGUGCUUAGGAUGUUGGCAUAAUGGCUUUAAUCGACCCGUCUUGAAACACGG
Molecule: ribosomal RNA, 629 nt
Filed under: uncultured fungus
Lineage: Eukaryota; Fungi
Description: eukaryotic LSU rRNA
Rfam family: Eukaryotic large subunit ribosomal RNA
Source: RNAcentral